This 405-nucleotide ribosomal RNA is filed under the name uncultured Bacteroidota bacterium. RNAcentral's name for it is "bacterial SSU rRNA". It matches the Rfam family "Bacterial small subunit ribosomal RNA", at positions 28 to 424 of the family's 1533-position model. Lineage: Bacteria; Pseudomonadati; Bacteroidota. The record is from RNAcentral.
GAUGAACGCUAGCGAUAGGCUUAACACAUGCAAGUCGAGGGGCAGCAUUGAAUCAGCUUGCUGAUUUAGAUGGCGACCGGCGGAUGGGUGAGUAACGCGUAUGCAACCUACCUUCAAAAGGGAGAUAGCCCGGAGAAAUUCGGAUUAAUAUCCCAUAAUGUUUUAUAUUCGCAUGAAUAUAGAAUUAAAGAUUUAUUGUUUGGAGAUGGGCAUGCGUUCCAUUAGUUAGUUGGUAAGGUAACGGCUUACCAAGACAUCGAUGGAUAGGGGAACUGAGAGGUUUAUCCCCACACUGGGACUGAGACACGGCCCAGACUCCUACGGGAGGCAGCAGUGAGGAAUAUUGGUCAAUGAGCGAGAGCUUGAACCAGCCAAGUCGCGUGAAGGAUGACUGCCUUAUGGGUU